AUGGAUGAUGACGGCGAUCUCGUUCUCUAUCGGAGAAUGAAGAGACACAGUAAGGCAUUUGUUCUGUGGCUGUCUUUCCGUUGCUGGUGUGUUAUGAAUUUGAUUGAUGUUCCUUGGUUUGCAGGGAGAAGGGACAAGGAUCAUGUGCUCACCGUGCAGCACGGCGUCACCUCUUUGCUCCGGAGCGUCGGGCUUCUUGCUAGAGAGCAUUCAGUGUCGGAUUUCCUACUGUGUAUCAUCCUUCUUUCAUUUGUGGUCCAUUGUUUGCUGUUGUUGGUUUACAUGUUUGGAAGGCAGCCAUGCUGCUAA
This 309-nucleotide ribosomal RNA is filed under the name Triticum aestivum (bread wheat). Its description in RNAcentral is "partial small subunit ribosomal RNA". Lineage: Eukaryota; Viridiplantae; Streptophyta; Magnoliopsida; Poales; Poaceae. The record is from RNAcentral.